Molecule: non-coding RNA, 30 nt
Filed under: Homo sapiens (human)
Lineage: Eukaryota; Metazoa; Chordata; Mammalia; Primates; Hominidae
Source: RNAcentral
UGCAAUCACGGCAGAAGGUGAAAGGGAAGU